GUACAUAAUAUAUCACGUUUAUCUUAUUGGUUAACUAUUAGCUUGUAUCUUCAUAGUUUAAUUUUCAACCCAAUUGGCAUUAUUUAUUUAGUUGUUAUACCCCCGCUUUGAAAAAGGGGGUAUACUGUUUUACCUCUGUCUGUCCUUCCGUCAGUCCGUCAGUCUGUCAGUCAGUCCGUCCGUCCCAUGAAUAUUUUUCGUCAUAUUUUUCUCAGG
Molecule: long non-coding RNA, 216 nt
Filed under: Mytilus galloprovincialis (Mediterranean mussel)
Lineage: Eukaryota; Metazoa; Mollusca; Bivalvia; Mytilida; Mytilidae
Source: RNAcentral